Molecule: long non-coding RNA, 1240 nt
Organism: Gadus macrocephalus (Pacific cod)
Lineage: Eukaryota; Metazoa; Chordata; Actinopteri; Gadiformes; Gadidae
Exons: 6
Source: RefSeq, a predicted model, not a curated record
GGACGGCAAAGAUUUUCAUGUUCUGCUGUCCAGAAUCGGACCAUACAAGCUGUUUUAUUGGGACAUCUGUAGGACAACUCCGGGUCAGGAACUUGAGAGUGAGGUAAGCUUCAGUAUUUUAUUCUCCUUUAGUUAACUCAUAUAACAAAGAAAUCUCCAAAUGCUAGUACACCAUAAGUUAACUGACUUCAUUUUCAAAUGGAUUUGCUUUCCCCAGGUGAUCAAUGCCACCCUGUUCAGAAUGGUCCAGAAGCACAAUUGCCAAGGGGGGAAAAAGGCACUUUGCAUUGAUACAUAUGCCAUGACCCAAAUUUGGAACAGGAAGACUUCAAUUCUAAGGAAGUGUGAUCCUUCAUUGUAUGGAGUCAUUCUGGGGGUAGUGAAUGAGCCAAAUCAUUGGAUACUCACAGUAAGUUAAACAUUAUCUUACGCUAUGUAUUCAUAUUUAAAUUUCCAAGGCACAUCCAUGAUUUUAUUAGGAUAUGUGAAUGUGACACAUGCACAAUGUGCUUAUCUACAUUUCUCUAGGUCCCCUCAGAACAGAGGAGCCUUGUGCUGGAUCCACUCGGCAACGAUGCCUCCAAGAUCACAAGAUGUCUGGAGACCACAAGAGCAUUCAUGAGAGCGAGGGGCUGUACGGUGUCCAGGUGGAAAGCCAACACUGUGCCACAUAGCCUGCAGCAGGAUUCCACUUCAUGUGGAAUAUUUGCCAUCAAAGUAAGUUUUUGAAUUGCAUAUUUCUUUACGGAAACAUGAAGCAGAUUUUGAAAAGUAUGCUGAGAAAGUCCUGGCAGAGGAGUCUCCUACUUUCCCAAACUCUGAAGGGGCAGUGGUUAAUUACAGGAGGGAAAUUGCUGUAGCACUUCUCAAUGAGACUGAUGAUCUCAGUGAGCUGUGCCACCACUGUGGAGAGGGAGAAGAAGCGCGAGGGGGGUCUCAAGACAGACCUGAUGCCACUGACUGGAUCCAGUGUGACACCUGUGGAAGGUGGUACCACGAGGGUUGUGUUGGGAGACCUGACAGAGAUCCUAUGUACAGCUGUCCUGCAUGCCACCAGGCUCAAAUGAGUCGAUGCCGUCCAAAACGGUCCAAAAAAAGAAAAUGUUGAUAACCAUGUUACAUGAUUAUCACGCCUUCCCGUGAGGAUGGACACUGUCUUUCAGCGACCCUCACAACCCUCAUCGACACCCCCCCCCCCCCCCCUUCCCGUGAGGACGGACACUGGGGUUUCAGCGGCCCU